This 694-nucleotide long non-coding RNA is filed under the name Elaeis guineensis (African oil palm). RNAcentral describes it as "long non-coding RNA (EGUI_LNC043078)". Lineage: Eukaryota; Viridiplantae; Streptophyta; Magnoliopsida; Arecales; Arecaceae. The record is from RNAcentral.
GUUGAUAAAGAUAUAUAUUUAAAUUUGAGGGAGAGAAAUCACUCUCCAAUGUAUAUCAAGUGAUGAAUAUUAAUGAGAAAGCACUAACUGAAAUUAGAACAUAUCUCAUCUUUGUAUAUUGGACUCCCCAACUAUUACUGAUUACAAAAAGUAAAUCAUCAUAACAUGCAUUAUAUUAAUGUGUGCUCUGGUCCUAGAUCGAUAACAUGUAAUGAUUAAUGACUCAUAUCAUUGUCCAUCUUUUGUUACACAAAGUCAUAGUCUCCAGCAUGAAUGUGCACUUCACCCAAUAAAGUUAGGUUAAUUUGUAGCUAUCAUUUUUUCAUGACUUGAUAAUAGCAAUUUAACACCAUUUACCUUAAUUUAUCAUGCAUAGACAUAUGUUAUCAUUAGCUUUUGAUGCUCUCAAUGUCUCAAAAAUUAGAUCAAACUUUUGAUCAUUUCAAUGGUACCAUCGAUAUGCGGUAUCCAACUAAAAUCUCCCUCUCUACCAACCAAGCCGAGCUAUAAAACCAUUUUUACAAAUCAUUGAUAUAUAAUCAUAAUCAUCCAGCCUUGUUGCAGUCAUGUAAAAUUGAUUGUGGAAUCCUUCCUGCCGACCGCUCCUAAUGAAGAUGCAACCAAUAAACCUCUUUUUCGUUUAUCAUUAGACGUUAAUCUUAUGAUAAGUAGUCCCUUGAUGCCCAAUUCAAUC